RNAcentral lists this ribosomal RNA (492 nucleotides) under uncultured bacterium. RNAcentral describes it as "partial 16S ribosomal RNA". It matches the Rfam family "Bacterial small subunit ribosomal RNA", at positions 29 to 507 of the family's 1533-position model. The record is from RNAcentral.
AGUGAACGCUGGCGGUAGGCCUAACACAUGCAAGUCGAACGGCAGCACAGUAAGAGCUUGCUCUUACGGGUGGCGAGUGGCGGACGGGUGAGGAAUACAUCGGAAUCUACUUUUUCGUGGGGGAUAACGUAGGGAAACUUACGCUAAUACCGCAUACGACCUACGGGUGAAAGCAGGGGAUCUUCGGACCUUGCGCGAUUGAAUGAGCCGAUGUCGGAUUAGCUAGUUGGCGGGGUAAAGGCCCACCAAGGCGACGAUCCGUAGCUGGUCUGAGAGGAUGAUCAGCCACACUGGAACUGAGACACGGUCCAGACUCCUACGGGAGGCAGCAGUGGGGAAUAUUGGACAAUGGGCGCGAGCCUGAACCAGCCAUACCGCGUGGGUGAAGAAGGCCUUCGGGUUGUAAAGCCCUUUUGUUGGGAAAGAAAAGCAGCAGGUUAAUACCCCGCUGUUCUGACGGUACCCAAAGAAUAAGCACCGGCUAACUUCGUG